UCCAUGUCCUUGACUCCACAGUACGACUUCAACUCAUUCACAUUCGACCCCAUCAAAGAAUCAAUCGUUUCUCGUGAAAUGACCCGCCGUUACAUGACUGACAUGGUCACCUACGCCGACACUGACGUCAUCGUCGUCGGUGCUGGCUCCGCCGGUCUCUCCUGCGCUUACGAGAUCAGCAAGAACCCCUCAAUCCGUGUCGCCAUAAUCGAGCAAUCAGUAAGCCCUGGUGGUGGCGCAUGGCUCGGUGGCCAGCUCUUUUCGGCGAUGGUCGUGCGCAAGCCAGCUCAGAGAUUCCUAGACGAGCUCGGCGUCGAGUACGACGAGCAAGACAACUACGUCGUGAUCAAGCAUGCCGCGUUGUUCACUUCAACAAUCAUGAGCAAGCUGUUGGCGAGGCCAAACGUGAAGUUGUUCAACGCUGUUGCAGCUGAGGAUUUGAUCGUCAAGGGAGGGAGAGUAGGUGGCGUCGUCACAAACUGGGCCUUGGUGUCUAUGAAUCACGACACACAGUCUUGCAUGGACCCCAAUGUGAUGGAGGCCAAGAUUGUGGUCAGCUCGUGUGGCCAUGACGGCCCUUUUGGGGCUACCGGUGUUAAGAGGCUUAAGAGUAUUGGCAUGAUUGACUCCGUCCCCGGAAUGAAAGCUCUCGAUAUGAACACUGCAGAGGAUGCUAUCGUUAGGCUUACCAGGGAGAUCGUGCCUGGCAUGAUUGUCACGGGCAUGGAAGUCGCAGAGAUCGACGGUGCCCCUAGAAUGGU
RNAcentral lists this long non-coding RNA (761 nucleotides) under Citrus sinensis (sweet orange). RNAcentral's name for it is "long non-coding RNA (CSIN_LNC000569)". The record is from RNAcentral. Lineage: Eukaryota; Viridiplantae; Streptophyta; Magnoliopsida; Sapindales; Rutaceae.